RNAcentral lists this ribosomal RNA (301 nucleotides) under uncultured bacterium. RNAcentral's name for it is "partial 16S ribosomal RNA". It matches the Rfam family "Bacterial small subunit ribosomal RNA", at positions 509 to 807 of the family's 1533-position model. The record is from RNAcentral.
CAGCAGCCGCGGUAAUACGGAGGGAGCUAGCGUUGUUCGGAAUUACUGGGCGUAAAGCGCACGUAGGCGGCUUUGUAAGUUAGAGGUGAAAGCCUGGAGCUCAACUCCAGAACUGCCUUUAAGACUGCAUCGCUUGAAUCCAGGAGAGGUGAGUGGAAUUCCGAGUGUAGAGGUGAAAUUCGUAGAUAUUCGGAAGAACACCAGUGGCGAAGGCGGCUCACUGGACUGGUAUUGACGCUGAGGUGCGAAAGCGUGGGGAGCAAACAGGAUUAGAUACCCCAGUAGUCCCUGUCUCUUAUAC